GAUGAACGCUGGCGGCGUGCCUAAUACAUGCAAGUCGAGCGAACAGACGAGGAGCUUGCUCCUCUGACGUUAGCGGCGGACGGGUGAGUAACACGUGGAUAACCUACCUAUAAGACUGGGAUAACUUCGGGAGACCGGAGCUAAUACCGGAUAAUAUAUUGAACCGCAUGGUUCAAUAGUGAAAGACGGUUUUGCUGUCACUUAUAGAUGGAUCCGCGCCGCAUUAGCUAGUUGGUAAGGUAACGGCUUACCAAGGCAACGAUGCGUAGCCGACCUGAGAGGGUGAUCGGCCACACUGGAACUGAGACACGGUCCAGACUCCUACGGUAGGCAGCAGUAGGGAAUCUUCCGCAAGGGGCGAAAGCUUGACGGAGCAACGCCGCGUGAGUGAUGAAGGUCUUCGGAUCGUAAAACUCUGUUAUUAGGGAAGAACAAAUGUGUAAGUAACUAUGCACGUCUUGACGGUACCUAAUCAGAAAGCCACGGCUAACUACGUG
This 497-nucleotide ribosomal RNA is filed under the name uncultured bacterium. RNAcentral describes it as "partial 16S ribosomal RNA". It matches the Rfam family "Bacterial small subunit ribosomal RNA", at positions 28 to 507 of the family's 1533-position model. The record is from RNAcentral.